CGGGGUGUGGCUCAGCUUGGUAGAGCGCAUGGUUCGGGACCAUGAGGCCGGAGGUUCAAAUCCUCUCACUCCGACCA
This 77-nucleotide transfer RNA is filed under the name Acetobacterium woodii. RNAcentral's name for it is "tRNA-Pro". It matches the Rfam family "tRNA". From Rfam's summary of the family: Transfer RNA (tRNA) molecules are approximately 80 nucleotides in length. Their secondary structure includes four short double-helical elements and three loops (D, anti-codon, and T loops). Lineage: Bacteria; Bacillati; Bacillota; Clostridia; Eubacteriales; Eubacteriaceae. The record is from RNAcentral. RNAcentral also lists the same sequence under 18 other names.